CCUACGGGAGGCAGCAGUGAGGAAUAUUGGUCAAUGGGCGGGAGCCUGAACCAGCCAAGCCGCGUGAGGGAAGAAGGUACAGCGUAUCGUAAACCGCUUUUGUCAGGGAACAAAGGCGGGGACUAGUCCCCGGAUGAGGGUACCUGAAGAAAAAGCAUCGGCUAACUCCGUGCCAGCAGCCGCGGUAAUACGGAGGAUGCGAGCGUUAUCCGGAUUUAUUGGGUUUAAAGGGCGUGUAGGCGGGAAAGCAAGUCAGAUGUGAAAACCAGGGGCUCAACCUGUGGCCUGCCUUUGAAACUGUUUUUCUUGAGUACUGGAGAGGCAGACUGAAUUCCUAGUGUAGCGG
This 346-nucleotide ribosomal RNA is filed under the name uncultured bacterium. Its description in RNAcentral is "partial 16S ribosomal RNA". It matches the Rfam family "Bacterial small subunit ribosomal RNA", at positions 338 to 681 of the family's 1533-position model. The record is from RNAcentral.